AGGCGUAAUCGAUGGGAAGCAGGUUAAUAUUCCUGCACGACUUGUAAUUGCGAUGGGGGGACGGAGAAGGCUAGGUGGGCCAGGCGACGGUUGUCCUGGUGAAAGUGCGUAGGUGGUGUUUCCAGGCAAAUCCGGAGACACAACACUGAGACACGAGACGAACGCACCACGGUGCGGAAGCCAUUGAUGCCCUGCUUCCAGGAAAAGCCUCUAAGCUUCAGAUUACAAGUCAUCGUACCCCAAAC
Molecule: ribosomal RNA, 245 nt
Filed under: Aeromonas caviae
Lineage: Bacteria; Pseudomonadati; Pseudomonadota; Gammaproteobacteria; Aeromonadales; Aeromonadaceae
Description: partial 23S ribosomal RNA
Rfam family: Bacterial large subunit ribosomal RNA
Source: RNAcentral